GGGUAAAUCUUUUCAAGACACUAAAACAGGUGACUCAGCACUGUGAGCUCUGUGCCUGACACGACCCAAACGGCCAGCAAUUUUCUCCUUCUCCAGUUAAACCUGUCCAAAGUUGAGGAACCUAUCCAGUUUCAGCUCAGCUAGGGAUCUAGUCUUACUAAAGACGCGGGAGGAAGUUCUC
RNAcentral lists this long non-coding RNA (181 nucleotides) under Pongo abelii (Sumatran orangutan). RNAcentral's name for it is "lincRNA". The record is from RNAcentral. Lineage: Eukaryota; Metazoa; Chordata; Mammalia; Primates; Hominidae.